Molecule: ribosomal RNA, 486 nt
Filed under: uncultured bacterium
Lineage: Bacteria
Description: partial 16S ribosomal RNA
Rfam family: Bacterial small subunit ribosomal RNA
Source: RNAcentral
GACGAACGCUGGCGGCGUGCUUAACACAUGCAAGUCGAACGCUGAAGACCUGGCUUUUGUUGGGUUGGAUGAGUGGCGAACGGGUGAGUAACACGUGAGUAACCUGCCCUCUUCUUUGGGAUAACGCCCGGAAACGGGUGCUAAUACUGGAUAUUCACUGAUCUUCGCAUGGGGGUUGGUGGAAAGGUUUGUUCUGGUGGGGGAUGGGCUCGCGGCCUAUCAGCUUGUUGGUGGGGUGAUGGCCUACCAAGGCUUUGACGGGUAGCCGGCCUGAGAGGGUGACCGGUCACAUUGGGACUGAGAUACGGCCCAGACUCCUACGGGAGGCAGCAGUGGGGAAUAGUGCACAAUGGGCGAAAGCCUGAUGCAGCGACGCCGCGUGAGGGAUGGAGGCCUUCGGGUUGUAAACCUCUUUCGCGCAUGGUCAAGCCGCAACUGUGGGUUGUGGUGAGGGUAGUGGGUAAAGAAGCGCCGGCUAACUACGUG